This 618-nucleotide long non-coding RNA is filed under the name Androctonus crassicauda. Lineage: Eukaryota; Metazoa; Arthropoda; Arachnida; Scorpiones; Buthidae. The record is from RNAcentral.
UGUGCACACGCGUGCACAUGCUCGGGUGUGUGUGGUUAUAGGAUGUGCCCUACAGGAUAAGCCUGAGCCUUCUCGUGCCCAUGAUGGGCUAAGAUACCCCCAAGAGGUCUGAGUGUAGCAAUAGGAAUUCCCAGUGUGCUUUCAAAUCACUAUGGAAUUCAUUCAUUCAUUCAUUCAUUCAUCCACCUGAAAACACGUAUUGAAAACAUACUAUGUGCCAGCUUUAGUUUUCAGCGCCGGGAAGCCUCGUUGUGAUUUCCUCCGAUUGUAGAAUGUGACGAGGUGUUCUCAACUCAAGGCCCACGGGAGAAGAGAAACCUCAUUCUUGGAGUGAGAGAGAAAGAAAGUGGUGAACAUUGAACGCCCUCCCUCUCCAUCUUGGCCAGAGCGUAGGAAGGUGUAGAGUAGAGGCUCACGGCUCCUGAGACCCACCUCUGCUCUGUGCUGCUGCGUAGAGCUCUCUCCUUGGGGCCUCCAGGGCACAAGCUUGAGGGACAGGGCCCAUCUUUGGUCAGGGUAUUCGGUCAUCCGACAAUGCCUUGCAGGUAGAUCUCUGCUGAGGGAAAGGAAUGCGGUGAGGAAGGCCGGACGGACAGGGUGCAGGGAGGAGGGCUCAUC